UUGCUUCUACGGAAAAUAAGAUUUAUUUCUCUUUAGCAAAAAAUCACAUCCAACGUUAACCUACACUUUUUUACAAUCAUGCAAAAUUUUGUUUCCACCCACUGGAAUCCAAUAGAACAUAAAGUUGCAUCUGACAAACAUAAAAAUGCUACUUUUAUAUGUGAUAUUGUUUCCAAGGAAAUGAAAAUUACAAUCACAAUUCAGAGUGAGCCUGAACCAGUUCAAGCAACGUCUCUCCUAGCUUUUUCUGGCUGUCAUCACCCUCUCCCCUAUUGUAGCUCCGAUGAUGUUCAGCAGGUGCUAUCGUGAACUACGCUUCAGCUGACGCAUACCACCAAACAUAGCCUCCACUACGAAUACAGAUACAGUAUGAUGUCUGCUGAAAAUAGUUGUAUGAAGCAAGAUAUUAGAAAUAAGAUAGCUUGUUCGUUUAACACGGUACAAUUUGCAGGAAGCAUUAAAUUUUGGGAACUCAAUAUAAUAGAUCUUUCUAUGAAGCAGAGAUCAUUGAUAAUAGAUAAUAAACUAAGUUUGGCACCAACAAGAGGAUGCAUCCUUGUGUCGCCAACAUACAAACUGAGCCGAUUAUUGGGUGAUGAAUGGAUUCACCUUUUAUUGCGAGACGAAAACAAUGAUUACAAUGUAGAAGCACCCAGGUGAGAAGCACGAAAAAGUGCACAGGGUACAUAGACAGUGCCAUAUGGAAGCAUGGAAUAUUGAAAAUAAAAUGAGAACAAAUAGGGCUCUGUGGAGGCAUAUUUAUGGGAGUAACACACAGUUCGGGAAAUAAGAGUAAGUAUGAAUACAUGGGAACUCCAGAUAACUCGUCGUGGAAUGAAGCAUAGAAAUUUGAUAAUGAAUAAUCAAACAAAGCUUGCAAGCAACAUGCAGAUGCAUCUUCUAUGUCGCUGACAUUCGAAUAGAAAGAAUUUUCAAUAGAUAAAUACAAGAAUUUUUAAUAAUGAACCAACUACAUUUUUUCAUGCUUCUUACCCUGGUGCUUCUACAUAGUAAGCAUUUUUCUAGACGGUCAAAACAAAAUGCUUACAAUGUAGAAGCAUCAAGGUAAGAAAAAAAGAAAAUGCAGUUGGUUCAUUAUUAGUGAUAGGUGGAAGCAUAAAAGUUUGGAAAUGAAACAAAAAAAUGCGGCCAACUGUGGAGGCACUUUUGUGGAAGCUCCAUAUACAAGAAGCAACAAAAGUUGUUUAUUUAACAAUUCUCAUAUACGUACACUGGAAGCACUGAAAAUUGAAAUUAGGGAACUGACUAUGAUUGUCUGUUAUUACGUGAAUUAACUACGAUUCUUUGUAUACAUAAUGAUCGAAUUAUCUAAAUAAUAGGCCCAGGGUCAUCCUCCUUUUUGAAACAAAAAAUCUAAAUAAUCCAAUAACAAAAUUGUUCGGUGAAAAAUGACCUAAUACAUGAACAGAACAAUUUAGCGCCCAAUGAACGUAAAAGUACUUGGCAGUUGGCAGACAGUACAUUGCACAGAAAAUUUAAUUUGGCAAUUACAAAUCAAUAAAAUUGACGGCUAUCGACGAAGUGCGGUACCUUCCAUCCUGAGAUUUGUCCCCUAAAAAUUGAGGGCGAUCGACGCAGGUUCUACGUCCGGCCGGUGCUACUCGUGCAGCCGAUUCAGCCAACUCGAACCUGCGCAAGCGCCAACCACCAAAGAGAUGGGGGGCUCGACCCUCUAAUGCCGGGAUGGCGCACCUGAGAUGUGCCCCGAGGGCAGUCCGGGGUUCACGUCGGUGGAGAGGAACCCCGAGGUCGCAUCGGUGGAGAGAAAGAUGGAGUAUGGAGGGGCAUGUACCGGAUCUGUACGGUGGGGUGGUUGUGUGCUCGAAGACGAGGAGGAAGCAGCCGAUGUGUGACGCAAUCAGAGUGGUCACAGCGACGCGGUUGACGGCAAGCUCCGGACGACGCAGUUGACGGCAAGCUCGGGGAAGGCGCGUGCGAUGCGAGAGGACGAGGGGAUUGCGGGAGAGUAAUUAGUGGGGUUGGGGCUGAUGGGAUUUUCCUUUUUUCUUUGGGAGUACGAACCAAUUGGUGAAGUUGUUUGUACACCAUCAGAUCCAAU
RNAcentral lists this long non-coding RNA (2080 nucleotides) under Triticum aestivum (bread wheat). RNAcentral describes it as "long non-coding RNA (TAES_LNC025691)". Lineage: Eukaryota; Viridiplantae; Streptophyta; Magnoliopsida; Poales; Poaceae. The record is from RNAcentral.